GGAUUUCAAGAUUUUGUGAAGGAUUUAAGUGAAUUAUUCAGGAUUAAGGGAAUACGUGAAUAUGUUAUGUGUAUAUGUGUACAGUAUGUGGUUAAGGCUCAAGGGUUGACCAGAUAAAUGAUAUAUGUAACCAACCUUAAGUAUAUAUUAAGAACGUCAACGUUCGGUUAUAAAAACUAGCGAAUUAUAAGAAACCCUAGAAACCAGUUCUGGAAACACUAAUUUCAGUUUCG
This 233-nucleotide long non-coding RNA is filed under the name Panax ginseng (ginseng). RNAcentral's name for it is "long non-coding RNA (PGIN_LNC009741)". Lineage: Eukaryota; Viridiplantae; Streptophyta; Magnoliopsida; Apiales; Araliaceae. The record is from RNAcentral.